Molecule: ribosomal RNA, 229 nt
Filed under: uncultured bacterium
Lineage: Bacteria
Description: partial 16S ribosomal RNA
Rfam family: Bacterial small subunit ribosomal RNA
Source: RNAcentral
UCCGCAGGCGGGCAAUUAAGUCAGAGGUGAAAUCCCACAGCUCAACUGUGGAACUGCCUUUGAUACUGGUUGUCUUGAGUUAUAGUGAAGUAGAUAGAAUAUGUAGUGUAGCGGUGAAAUGCAUAGAUAUUACAUAGAAUACCGAUUGCGAAGGCAGUCUACUAACUAUAUACUGACGCUGAUGGACGAAAGCGUGGGGAGCGAACAGGAUUAGAUACCCCGGUAGUCC